RNAcentral lists this transfer RNA (54 nucleotides) under Euphyllura phillyreae. Its description in RNAcentral is "tRNA-Ser". Lineage: Eukaryota; Metazoa; Arthropoda; Insecta; Hemiptera; Liviidae. The record is from RNAcentral.
GAGUUUUAGAGAAAGCUGCUAACUAUCUCAUAGCAAUUUGUUGUUAAACCCCCC